This 1002-nucleotide long non-coding RNA is filed under the name Manihot esculenta (cassava). Its description in RNAcentral is "long non-coding RNA (MESC_LNC001952)". Lineage: Eukaryota; Viridiplantae; Streptophyta; Magnoliopsida; Malpighiales; Euphorbiaceae. The record is from RNAcentral.
UUAGUUUGAAUAAUUUAAGUCCGUAAUUGCUUAGAUUAUUCUUACAUGAGAACACUUGAGAUAAAACCAAAGGAAAUUGUAUGAUCUAGCGUUAUCUCCAUACGUUUGGGUAGCUAGGAUUGGAUCUCUCUAUUUCUUAAUGCAAUUGACAAUUGUUUUGAUGCCUAAGGUCCAAGGACGUUCCUUGACAAUUUGUUAAUUAGUAAUUAAUUAGAGGACGUUUCAUAAUUAAUUUAAUCAUAAGGAGAGAUAAUGGUGGUGAGAAGCGUCUUCCAUCUCCAUAACUAAUCUAUUGAAUCAACCCAAAAGAACAAAGUGUCUGUGAUCAAUCCCAACAACUAAAGUGGAUCCAAUACUUCAACUAGAACUUUCUCAUUAUUGAUUACUUUUUAUUUAAUUAUUUGCUUUCCAUUAUUUUUCUCAUUAUUAGUUUACUACAAUCAAUCUCAAACCCCCCUAUUAUUUUGUUGACAGUUUUGAUCCCAAUUUUCAGUUUAUCUCAUUUGAUCCCACUUUCAGUCUUUUAUUUCAUUUUUAAUUUAUUAUCGUUCCAGUUUAUUUUAUUGGUCAUAAAAAGAGAAAUAGGUAAGUUCUCAAUUCUCUGUGGAUUCGAUCCUUUCACCACUAUCUGCAGUUGUAAAUUGUUGAUAACCAGAAAGUUAUUUUUGACCGGCUUCGACAACCGCGAGUCAGCCACUGAACCUACUUGUGGAAGCAACCAUUUGGCCGCCUAACCUGCCUUCGAAGGUUUUGACCUUCGGAUAUGUAAGGGACUUUAGGCCGCCGAACCUACAGCCGAAAGUCUCAUGUUUAGCCUUUUUCUGCAUGUUUCCUACGAGUGUUUUUGUUUGUUCUUAAAGGUUUCUUGGGGGGUUGUUUUAAGUGUUGUAAAAGUUAUGUUUGGUCCCUCAUUUAAGUCCAUAUGUAUAGGAUUGGACUUGGGAGACCGUAGAGGCUUGCAGUGAGGUAACUGAUUUAGUAUUAGGCGUGCAUCAGCCAGAG